Molecule: long non-coding RNA, 513 nt
Filed under: Bos taurus (domestic cattle)
Lineage: Eukaryota; Metazoa; Chordata; Mammalia; Artiodactyla; Bovidae
Description: long non-coding RNA NONBTAT026954
Source: RNAcentral
AACUUAAAAAUAGGAAUUUAUUUACAAUAGCAAAGGUGUCAAAAAUAACAGGAACAAUAUAUAACAAAUCCAAGAGUUAUUUUAUGAAAAAGGCAAACAAUACAUACACAAAAGAUAAAACAAAAUCCAAAAGGGCAAACUUAAUGUGACCUUAACAGCUGCAUAUGUGGCAAAAUGGUUUUUCAGAUAUGAAUUACUUAAGUACUGCUGGGCCAAUUCAACACACUUUUUUCAGCCUUUCUUUUUUACUUGCUGAACCUUCCUGUGAAUUCUAUUUACUUUUGAGGAAUGUAACUUUGGGGAGGCCAUACAAGAUUUAUGAAGUACAUGCAGGAUAUUUACAUGUAUACUAAAAGAUAGACUUACUGACAGGCUCACAUUUCAAAAGGGGUAUAAAGUGGUAUGAAAGUGAACGUAUAAACUGAGUCCCGUUUCACCAUCACUGCUUCCUUCUAGGGCAUGUGUGUGUGUUGUCUGCUAUAUAAAAUUAAUGCACCAGUAAUCUUUAUAAAG